UACGUAGGGGGCUAGCGUUGUCCGGAAUCAUUGGGCGUAAAGCGCGCGUAGGCGGCCAGAUAAGUCCGGUGUGAAAGUCACAGGCUCAACCUGUGAAUGCCGCUGGAAACUGUCUGGCUAGAGUCCGGAAGGGGCGAGUGGAAUUCCUGGUGUAGCGGUGAAAUGCGCAGAUAUCAGGAGGAACACCAGUGGCGAAGGCGGCGACCUGGGCCAAUAUUGACGCUGAGGUGCGAAAGCGUGGGGAGCAAACAGG
Molecule: ribosomal RNA, 253 nt
Filed under: uncultured bacterium
Lineage: Bacteria
Description: partial 16S ribosomal RNA
Rfam family: Bacterial small subunit ribosomal RNA
Source: RNAcentral